This is a non-coding RNA of Peromyscus maniculatus bairdii (prairie deer mouse), 546 nucleotides long. The record is from RefSeq and is a predicted model, not a curated record. NCBI's taxonomy places the organism in Eukaryota, Metazoa, Chordata, Mammalia, Rodentia, Cricetidae.
AGCAGAGCUGGGUUUGCACAAUUUCAGUCCUUUCUUUCUGCCCAGAGGGCAAAUGAGGAAAAAAAAAAACAGAAAACAAAAGUAUGGAGAACCAGGCGAUUCUCAGCCAAACUGAAUGAGAAAAUUGAAGCAAUUACUGGAAAAUAGAUGUGAAAACCUGUUAUCACUCAAAUUGAAAGCUCCAUCCUCAGUGUUGGCUAAUAUAACAUGUGCUAUGUGAACAUGUACACAUCAUUUUACUUUUCUGCGUCCCAAAAAGCAUGCCAAUGUGAGAAGAUCUGCCCCAACCCUUGUGAUCUCUCCACCAAAAGAAGAAGAGAAUGAAGAAAAGAAAGAAGAAGAAGAGCGCACACUCACACACACACAUACACAUCCAAAUUGUGUUGCCUAUAUACCCAAUGGAGCAUGGUUAAACUUCCAGUAACCAGUUCCUUUAAGAAAACUGAGUCCUUCCCCAACACAGACUCCUGCUAGAGUUGUGGAGAGCUACAUUUCAGCAUCCUCCUCACAAUUUUAGCAUUCUCUUCCAUAGUUUCCUGUCAAGGC